GACGAACGCUGGCGGCGUGCUUAACACAUGCAAGUCGAACGGAAAGGCCCUGCUUUUGUGGGGUGCUCGAGUGGCGAACGGGUGAGUAACACGUGAGUAACCUGCCCUUGACUUUGGGAUAACUUCAGGAAACUGGGGCUAAUACCGGAUAGGAGCUCCUGCUGCAUGGUGGGGGUUGGAAAGUUUCGGCGGUUGGGGAUGGACUCGCGGCUUAUCAGCUUGUUGGUGGGGUAGUGGCUUACCAAGGCUUUGACGGGUAGCCGGCCUGAGAGGGUGACCGGCCACAAUGGGACUGAGAUACGGGCCAGACUUCUACGGGAGGCAGCAGUGGGGAAUAUUGCACAAUGGGCGGAAGCCUGAUGCAGCAACGCCGCGUGCGGGAUGACGGCCUUCGGGUUGUAAACCGCUUUCGCCUGUGACGAAGCGUGAGUGACGGUAAUGGGUAAAGAAGCACCGGCUAACUACGUG
Molecule: ribosomal RNA, 468 nt
Filed under: uncultured bacterium
Lineage: Bacteria
Description: partial 16S ribosomal RNA
Rfam family: Bacterial small subunit ribosomal RNA
Source: RNAcentral